This 432-nucleotide ribosomal RNA is filed under the name uncultured bacterium. RNAcentral's name for it is "partial 16S ribosomal RNA". It matches the Rfam family "Bacterial small subunit ribosomal RNA", at positions 29 to 507 of the family's 1533-position model. The record is from RNAcentral.
ACGAACGCUGGCGGCAGGCCUAACACAUGCAAGUCGAGCGCGCCCUUCGGGGUGAGCGGCGGACGGGUGAGUAACGCGUGGGAACGUGCCCUUUUCUACGGAAUAGCCUCGGGAAACUGAGAGUAAUACCGUAUACGCCCUUUGGGGGAAAGAUUUAUCGGAAAAGGAUCGGCCCGCGUUGGAUUAGGUAGUUGGUGGGGUAAUGGCCUACCAAGCCGACGAUCCAUAGCUGGUUUGAGAGGAUGAUCAGCCACACUGGGACUGAGACACGGCCCAGACUCCUACGGGAGGCAGCAGUGGGGAAUCUUAGACAAUGGGGGCAACCCUGAUCUACCCAUGCCGCGUGAGUGAUGAAGGCCUUAGGGUUGUAAAGCUCUUUCAGCUGGGAAGAUAAUGACGGUACCAGCAGAAGAAGCCCCGGCUAACUCCGUG